GCCUGAUUAGCUCAGUCGGUAGAGCAUGAGACUUUUAAUCUCAGGGUCAUGGGUUCGAGCCCCAUAUUAGGCU
Neoconidiobolus thromboides FSU 785 is the source of this 73-nucleotide non-coding RNA. The record is from the annotation of a GenBank genome assembly. NCBI's taxonomy places the organism in Eukaryota, Fungi, Entomophthoromycota, Entomophthoromycetes, Entomophthorales, Neoconidiobolaceae.